AUUGAACGCUGGCGGAAUGCUUUACACAUGCAAGUCGAGCGGCAGCACGGGGGCAACCCUGGUGGCGAGCGGCGAACGGGUGAGUAAUACAUCGGAACAUGCCCAGUCGUGGGGGAUAACACUUCGAAAGAAGUGCUAAUACCGCAUACGUCCUGAGGGAGAAAGCGGGGGAUCGCAAGACCUCGCGCGAUUGGAGUGGCCGAUGUCAGAUUAGCUAGUUGGUGGGGUAAAGGCCUACCAAGGCAACGAUCUGUAGCUGGUCUGAGAGGAUGAUCAGCCACACUGGGACUGAGACACGGCCCAGACUCCUACGGGAGGCAGCAGUGGGGAAUUUUGGACAAUGGGGGCAACCCUGAUCCAGCCAUGCCGCGUGAGUGAAGAAGGCCUUCGGGUUGUAAAGCUCUUUAGGCAGGAACGAAACGGCGAGCUCUAACAUAGCUUGCUAAUGACGGUACCUGAAGAAGAAGCACCGGCUAACUACGUG
Molecule: ribosomal RNA, 484 nt
Filed under: uncultured bacterium
Lineage: Bacteria
Description: partial 16S ribosomal RNA
Rfam family: Bacterial small subunit ribosomal RNA
Source: RNAcentral